This 427-nucleotide ribosomal RNA is filed under the name uncultured bacterium. Its description in RNAcentral is "partial 16S ribosomal RNA". It matches the Rfam family "Bacterial small subunit ribosomal RNA", at positions 355 to 774 of the family's 1533-position model. The record is from RNAcentral.
UGGGGAAUAUUGCACAAUGGGCGCAAGCCUGAUGCAGCCAUGCCGCGUGUAUGAAGAAGGCCUUCGGGUUGUAAAGUACUUUCAGCGGGGAGGAAGGCGAUAAGGUUAAUAACCUUGUCGAUUGACGUUACCCGCAGAAGAAGCACCGGCUAACUCCGUGCCAGCAGCCGCGGUAAUACGGAGGGUGCAAGCGUUAAUCGGUAUUACUGGGCGUAAAGCGCACGCAGGCGGUCUGUCAAGUCGGAUGUGAAAUCCCCGGGCUCAACCUGGGAACUGCAUUCGAAACUGGCAGGCUAGAGUCUUGUAGAGGGGGGUAGAAUUCCAGGUGUAGCGGUGAAAUGCGUAGAGAUCUGGAGGAAUACCGGUGGCGAAGGCGGCCCCCUGGACAAAGACUGACGCUCAGGUGCGAAAGCGUGGGGAGCAAACA